RNAcentral lists this ribosomal RNA (400 nucleotides) under uncultured bacterium. Its description in RNAcentral is "bacterial SSU rRNA". It matches the Rfam family "Bacterial small subunit ribosomal RNA", at positions 355 to 769 of the family's 1533-position model. The record is from RNAcentral.
UCGAGAAUCUUCCGCAAUGGGCGAAAGCCUGACGGAGCGACGCCGCGUGAUUGAUGAAGUCCUUCGGGACGUAAAAAUCUUUUAUGGAUGAGAAAGUUUAUUGAUCUAGCCAUGAAUAAGGGGCUCCAAACUCUGUGCCAGCAGGAGCGGUAAUACAGAGGCCCCAAGCGUUGUCCGGAAUCACUGGGCGUAAAGGGUGUGUAGGUGGUCUUAUUAGUCUCUCGUUAAAACUCCCGGCCUAACCGGGAAGGUGCGAGGGAAACGGUAAGACUUAGAGGGUGCGAGAGGUCUGUGGAACUCAUGGAGUAGGGGUGAAAUCCGUUGAUAUCAUGGGGAACACCAAAAGCGAAGGCAGCAGACUGGCGCAUUCCUGACACUGAAACACGAAAGCGUAGGUAGC